GCCCGGGUGGCGAAAUCGGUAUACGCAGCGGACUUAAAAUCCGCCGCCUUCACAGGCAUACGGGUUCAAGUCCCGUCCCGGGCACCA
Molecule: transfer RNA, 87 nt
Filed under: Burkholderiales bacterium
Lineage: Bacteria; Pseudomonadati; Pseudomonadota; Betaproteobacteria; Burkholderiales
Description: tRNA-Leu
Rfam family: tRNA
About the family: Transfer RNA (tRNA) molecules are approximately 80 nucleotides in length. Their secondary structure includes four short double-helical elements and three loops (D, anti-codon, and T loops).
Source: RNAcentral